This is a long non-coding RNA of Gasterosteus aculeatus aculeatus (three-spined stickleback), 5507 nucleotides long. The record is from Ensembl. NCBI's taxonomy places the organism in Eukaryota, Metazoa, Chordata, Actinopteri, Perciformes, Gasterosteidae.
GAGCUCGACAACUUAAUUGGUUUUGCUGCAUGUAAUUUUAAUAGCUCCUGUAAUUAGGUUGCUUAUUAUAAAGAUUCAAGUCAUAAAUCAUUUGAAAAGUUACACAACGACAUUUCCUGUCAUUACAAAACGUUUUUCUGCUGCUAGUGUGCCGCUAGAAGUCACCUGCAGGUAACCUGAGCACCGUGCUGCUUAAGGCCAGUCGGAAAGAGAAAAGAAAGAAAACAGGAAGAUAAAAAAAAGUCACGGUGUGAGUGUUAACCACCCGUGACACUUUUAUUAUCAUUAUUAAUCAGUGCUUUUCAAGGACCGAAUUUAAAUCAAUAUGAAGGAGUAAAACUAAUUACUGUGACCAUUGGGAUCAGUUUGGGGGACUUACAUUUACAUUUGUGUCAGUAAAUUCUACCCGUUACCAAGGACCCGAGAGGUUGGGAGAUGCUGUGAUUUCUAAUUGCGAUGAACCAACUAACCAUUAGUCUUCUCUCAUCUGCAGCGCGAGCACACUCACAAUUCUUCGCUAACGGAUUCCCCCUCCAACGUUACACACCACCUCCUACACAAUGCAACACAAUGCCGUUCUGCCCACCAGACUCCAAAACAGCCAGAGGAAACAAACAGUGUACACCCAGUGGUGUGUGCCCUAUGGAUCCCAGUUUGGAAGCCAUGUGCAACCCUCACCCCUCAACUGGUGACCAAUAUGCCACUACACACCUGACUGUGAGUGGGUAUGUUUCCAACGAGGAAAAGAGUGACCUGGCUAAUCUCAUUUGUCUCAAGGUUGAAACCUGCCUAAUUAUCAGAUUAGUUUAUGAAAAGUUGGCGUUUGGGAGACACUUGGUCUUCACAGCGCAGCGCCGAUAGAAUUGUGGGAGCAAUCCGAGCAUUUUGUUAUUGAACAGUAAUCACAAAAACACAAAACAAAAGGUGGCAAACUGCAUCUCUUAUAUUCAACUCCUGUCUUCUUUAUUGUUUUUGUAUUUUUUUCAGACCCCUGUGCUUUCCAAAAAGUGUUAAAUAUCUUGUCGUUGACUUUUUCAGUGCUUUUUCCCGUUUUUAAAUACCGUAUGUGACCAUAGCAGCACCUUUCAAACCCAGUUCCCAGGUAGCAAAGACUACAGGCAACAUUAGCUACACGAACAUAAACAGCCUCUUCUUUCUGCAGUAUGUGAUGAGUCUGGCAAUAGAGCAGCUGUGUUCCUCCUAAUGUCCACCCCGAGGUUCAUCUGCUUACUGCGUAGUUUUAUUUAAUGUUAUCCAAGGUACAAUUUGAAUUUGAAUUUUUUUUUUUGGGAGAGGGACGCUUGAAAAACACUGUGUCUCCCGUACGUGUCUCCGAACAGGCGGAGAGUGAGAAUGAGAGCAAACAGCAGUGUGCAUCCACUCCAUCACUGUGAUAGGCCUUGUCAUCCUCUCUCUCCUGCUCCGUGCACUCGCCAGUCCGCUCCCAGCAGUGAGGGGGGGGGGUGUAAAGUUCACUCCUUCCUAAUCUAUCAACCACCCUCCCUCCACCCCACCUCCCCCGUGCGGUCAUUAGCUAUGCACACUGAUGCAAAGUCCCGGCCCACACCAGACCCUCAUUUAUAGUCUUUUUACAGCAAGGAAGCGGCAUCGAUUAAUUAAAGGCUAAAUUGCUCCCUGUCCCCAGGGUAUGCAGAGGGGCGAGGGUUAUUUCGGUGGGGUUGGUCCGGUGGCGUUAUGAGCCUGGGUGUGUCGUUGGGUGAGAAAGAAUUGCAUAAUUGGGGGAACCUUUCCACAAACCCACUCCCCCUGCACCGGUUGAAAACAAACUGUUGAUGCAGUGGCAGGAAUUACUCUAUGAUUCUGCAUUUUUAAAGACUAACUGGCGCAGCUGAAAAUCUUGUCUUUUCGCUGACCUUCAGUGGUUUAACUUCUCCUCUUGCUGCAGAAGUGUAGGCUGGCCAGUGCACUAUGACGUCACCUUUGGGUGCCGUAACCCGUGCAGGAUGUUGUUCAUCUUACUCCCGUAAAGUUUGUCUUUUGUGAAAGGAUGGCUUUUUACGGUGAUGGGAUAUGAAGCUGGGCGUGACCAAGUUGUGAAUCAACACUCUAAACAUGACAAAAUAAAGCCGUGUGCAGAACUGAAGACAACGGUAAAGUUCAAAUAAGCCGGAGUGUUUUUGACCUAAAUAUUUGUCAUGGCGGCUUUGAAGGCCAGGUGACCAAACGCCCCCCCGGUGUGUCCCAACAGGUGCUCCAGGCUCGUUGCCCUUGUAAGGGCACGCGCUGCAGUACACUGCUCGCCUGUUUACUCUCCCAGUCAACCAGCUGCACUGCGCGUUUAUAAUACUCUCAUAAGCGCGCUGCAGAUGGAUAUGGGUCCCCUCGCCGCCGCUCGCGGGCUUAUGAUUAAUGAGCAGCACUUGGAGCCGCAUGUGUUGCCGCCUCGCAGCUCCGACAUGUCUUUUCCGGACCCGACAUUUUGUAUCCUCGGUGAAAAAUGAGCUCCUCGGUGUCGUUCAUUACGCUGUUUCCCUGCCAGAACUCUCCCGUGCAUAUUCCUCUUGACUAAGCCUCGUGCCAUGCUUGUACUGCGCGUGGGUGUCCGUGUCACUUUGCAUCUAACUCACUUAUCGAGACAGCUAUCCAGUGAAAUGCAAUACCGGGGGAAUGGCUUGCCUGCAAUUCGGGACCCGUUACAAAAGGGAGACAAGUCAAUAGAGGAAGACCUGACAGGCAAAGGAGGAAGGAUUUCAGCGCUCCUUUGGAGGACACGCUGCAUGAGAAGCCCUGGCACAGCAGGAAAGUAGCCACUUUUCUGCUGUGCACGCACACUGACAUGACACCGGGCCAGUAAUCGUAGUUCCACCUCCACCAAGUUAUAGCUGUUAUUUGGUCCGUCGUAGAAUGGAAUCCAUUUUUGCGACAUUGCCGGCCACAGUGAGCAGACCGAAUUGUGCACACACACACACCUGCAAAAAGAAGCACCACAAUCUACACGGACGCACAACCAACCCACGGGCCUCCAUAUGCACACACACCGCGCCACGCACGUACACACUCCCCGCUACUCAGUAGUCUCUCAAGGGCACAUUCCAAUAGAGCGGCGUUGGGAAAAAAAAGCCAUCUGAUGGAUUGGACCUGGAUACGGCAGCGCAGGCAAAUCCCCUAAUGUGGCAUAAAUAAGGCCGCCGCGCGCCGAUCGCUCUCUGCAGACAAUGUAAAUUACAUUGUCAGGCGCAGUCACUUCCUGCUCGCUGUGCAGCUAACAAGAGUCACCUGCCAAGGCACGACAACGAGAGGAGGAGCCACCGGGGCGAAGGGACAGAGAAAUUAAUUAAAGUGGCAACUCACCACACGCACGAGCAGAUACAUGCGGACACGGAGCCACACGCACAUGGUGCAUAUGCAUUUGAUUUAUUUCCCUUGCUCUUGUAAGCUACCCGGCCUCUCCUGUGGAUCUCAGUGAAGGUCGAUGCGACAGCUCUGCUGAGGAACGGAGGCGAUGUUGCUCGGACAUAUUGGAGCUUAGCUCCCCUCGUGCCAGCCUGCAGAUUCUCAGGAGGGCCGGCGAACUCAACACGGAGGCCUGCGAAUAAUAUCAAGUGCGAUACGUUGUACUCCAUCGCUGCAGAACCUCCCACUGCUGCCUUGGAAAGAUUCCAAGAAAAGGUCAGGAGAUCUGCUUCUUGUCUUCCUCUUCUCUUCACAGUCUUUUCCCAAAAUUGUACCUGUCUUUUGCUCUCCAUGCAGCUGUUGUUUUAAAUCACGUUGGUUCCAGGCCACCGCUGUUUUAUUCUCGUUAAACUUGCAUCCUCAUCCCCAAGAAAUCAAUAGACCCGUUGAAUAAUUUGGCUCUACGAAUGUAGUGACCCCUUGUAAAAUGUAAUGAAGAUGCGGCACUACGCCGAUGACAAGUCGCUUUAGCUUUCUAGAAGGAGCAUGUCCUUGGAGGCAGAGCAAUAAACAGACCAGAACAGUGUUCAUUGACAAACAGUUGAACAGAUAGUCCUCAUUAGCCGUGAGCUUAAACGUACAGUAGACUGCGCAGACCUCCCAAUUAUGGCGCCAUAAGUGGACACGUUCAUGAGAUGAAUGCUUCAAACUGUCCGCAUCUUUCACAUACCCGCAAGUGCUUCUUUCCUCGCAAGCUCCCAUGUGCAGAAACAGCUUUGCCCUCUCUGUGUCAAACAUUUCCUCCCUCGGCCGCCUAAAAAAAGUGUUUCCCGACGCUGACAGGGAGAAUGGAUGGCCUCCAUUACGCCCGGCUACAAACACAUUCCGCCAGGAUGAAGGGGCCGUAAAUUAUCCUCCAAGCGAGCAGCCCAGGCCACAACCGAGCCAACAACCCCCCCAACCCUCCCUCCCACUGCUCCUAAUGGGGUCGGCCCAUCCGCAGCCUGCACUGCACUGAAUCACACCACCCCCCCUUCCCAAACAUACACUGUCACCUGUGUGUAUAUAAACAGUGUGUGAGUGUGUUUGUGUGCGUGUCAUUGAAAUGGGGGGGCUCCUUAAAUCAAGCACCUGGUAAGAGGUCCCCGAACCCACCGCCUGAAUAAGUGAGAUCUAACAAAGACGUCCAGUAAACGGCAGCACGGUUGCUCUUUUGCGAUUUCUAGUGACUGCUGGCACGGCAGCACAAUAACACGUCUAACUCCACGAGGCCGGAGGGUCGUAUCCGGAGAACACACCAGCAGUGUGUCGAGUCAAAUUCAGUUCGAAUCACGUUGGCAGCGAGAUAGCCAUCAAACCGGCGGAGUCAUUGCCCUUUGAGGCGGUUAAAUGCUAAAGUGUGUGUCCAUAAAUCGUUACAUGCAAAUGGUGCAGUGUGAGGAAACAUUGUGUUCCCGUUGGGUACAGCUUGUUCUUCUGGUGACAGGACCCUCUCAGCCUAACCUGCAGCUCUGAUAGCAAUCUGGGUCCUCGCUUUCCCCAAUUGACAACGAAACCCCCAGAGGAGAAAUCCUCACGCUGUAACUCCCUCUCCCUCUUCCUCCUCGUGACACUUCAUCCACGCGUUUGUCUGGGCCGUUAUUUUUUCACACAGCUGGGAAAUUCCUGAGAGGCCUGUUGUUAGAUAAAUGGGUAACCAAGCGUGGGGCAUUUUUUUGAUGCUUUGUGUGUUGGAAGUCUUUGUUUCAGUAUUUCUAUCAAGGUACAUUUUGCACAUUAACAUACCGUGGUACGGCUGUUUGGAGGUACUACCAUGUUUAUCCUCUUUUCAAAGGGUUUACAUUACAUGAUAAAAACAAAUUCCUAUUAAAAAAAUGUUUAUUCCUUUGCAAUUCAGGACAAUCCAUAGAACAUGGUGUUGGUUGCUUUUAGUGGAUCCAAUUCAAAGAAAUAGCUCUGAUGAAAAGAGUGCUAAGUGUGCUCUGUUUAUUAUUCUGGGACUGCCUGAGAACAGUGACAGGUUCUUGUUAGCAGCUAAAUUGUAAGCUAUAAGUAGCCCCUACAAACUGGCAAAUGCCGUAAAGUCACCAGGUAAAAUGUAGUUUAACAUUUUAGGUCAAUAGUUAUUAGUGUAUAUAUAUAUAUUUGUUUUU